GACGGAGGAGGCAAGCGUUAUCCGGAAUUAUUGGGCGUAAAGGGUACGUAGGCGGCUGGUCAAGUCUAGGAUCAAAGGCCACAGCUCAACUGUGGGAAGGCUCUGGAAACUGACCGGCUAGAGUGAGGUAGGGGUUGUGGGAAGUCCCGGUGUAGCGGUGAAAUGCGUAGAGAUCUGGAAGAACACCUGAGGCUGAAGCGCGCAACUGGGCCUCAUCUGACGCUGAUGUACGAAAGCUAGGGGAGCAAAUGGG
This 253-nucleotide ribosomal RNA is filed under the name uncultured bacterium. RNAcentral's name for it is "partial 16S ribosomal RNA". It matches the Rfam family "Bacterial small subunit ribosomal RNA", at positions 524 to 776 of the family's 1533-position model. The record is from RNAcentral.